Molecule: ribosomal RNA, 202 nt
Filed under: uncultured bacterium
Lineage: Bacteria
Description: partial 16S ribosomal RNA
Rfam family: Bacterial small subunit ribosomal RNA
Source: RNAcentral
UCCUACGGGAGGCAGCAGUAGGGAAUAUUGCACAAUGGGGGAAACCCUGAUGCAGCGACGCCGCGUGAGUGAUGAAGUAUUUCGGUACGUAAAACUCUAUCAGCAGGGAAGAUAAUGACGGUACCUGACUAAGAAGCCCCGGCUAACUACGUGCCAGCAGCCGCGGUAAUACGUAGGGGGCAAGCGUUAUCCGGAUUUACUG